This 497-nucleotide ribosomal RNA is filed under the name uncultured bacterium. RNAcentral's name for it is "partial 16S ribosomal RNA". It matches the Rfam family "Bacterial small subunit ribosomal RNA", at positions 28 to 507 of the family's 1533-position model. The record is from RNAcentral.
GAUGAACGCUGGCGGCGUGCCUAAUACAUGCAAGUCGAGCGAACAGACGAGGAGCUUGCUCCUCUGACGUUAGCGGCGGACGGGUGAGUAACACGUGGAUAACCUACCUAUAAGACUGGGAUAACUUCGGGAAACCGGAGCUAAUACCGGAUAAUAUAUUGAACCGCAUGGUUCAAUAGUGAAAGACGGUUUUGCUGUCACUUAUAGAUGGAUCCGCGCCGCAUUAGCUAGUUGGUAAGGUAACGGCUUACCAAGGCAACGAUGCGUAGCCGACCUGAGAGGGUGAUCGGCCACACUGGAACUGAGACCCGGUCCAGACUCCUACGGGAGGCAGCAGUAGGGAAUCUUCCGCAAUGGGCGAAAGCCUGACGGAGCAACGCCGCGUGAGUGAUGAAGGUCCUCGGAUCGUAAAACUCUGUUAUUAGGGAAGAACAAAUGUGUAAGUAACUAUGCACGUCUUGACGGUACCUAAUCAGAAAGCCACGGCUAACUACGUG